This 390-nucleotide ribosomal RNA is filed under the name uncultured bacterium. Its description in RNAcentral is "bacterial SSU rRNA". It matches the Rfam family "Bacterial small subunit ribosomal RNA", at positions 524 to 916 of the family's 1533-position model. The record is from RNAcentral.
UACGAAGGUGGCAAGCGUUGUUCGGAUUUACUGGGCGUACAGGGAGCGUAGGCGGUUCGGUAAGCCCUCUGUGAAAUCUCCAGGCUUAACCUGGAACAGUCGGAGGGGACUGCUGGGCUAGAGGACGGGAGAGGAGCGCGGAAUUCCCGGUGUAGCGGUGAAAUGCGUAGAGAUCGGGAGGAAGGCCGGUGGCGAAGGCGGCGCUCUGGAACGUUUCUGACGCUGAGGCUCGAAAGCGUGGGGAGCAAACAGGAUUAGAUACCCUGGUAGUCCACGCCUUAAACUAUGAAUACUAAGUGUCGGCGGUUUACCGCCGGUGCCGCAGCUAACGCAUUAAGUAUUCCGCCUGGGAAGUACGGCCGCAAGGUUGAAACUUAAAUGAAUUGACGG